GACUCUAGCGAGACUGCCUGGGUUAACCAGGAGGAAGGUGGGGAUGACGUCAAAUCAUCAUGCCCCUUAUGUGUAGGGCUACACACGUGCUACAAUGGCUGGUACAGAGAGAUGCAAUACCGCGAGGUGGAGCCAAACUUAAAAACCAGUCUCAGUUCGGAUUGUAGGCUGAAACUCGCCUACAUGAAGCUGGAGUUACUAGUAAUCGCGAAUCAGAAUGUCGCGGUGAAUACGUUCCCGGGUCUUGUACACACCGCCCGUCACACCAUGAGAGUUGGCAAUACCCGAAGUCCGGGAGCUAACCGCAAGGAGGCAGCGGCCGAAGGUAGGGUCAGCGGUUGGGGUGAAGUCGUAACAAGGUAGCCGUAGGAGAACCUGCGGCUGGAUCACCUCCUUUCUAAGGAA
This 405-nucleotide ribosomal RNA is filed under the name Clostridium perfringens. RNAcentral's name for it is "bacterial SSU rRNA". It matches the Rfam family "Bacterial small subunit ribosomal RNA", at positions 1136 to 1533 of the family's 1533-position model. Lineage: Bacteria; Bacillati; Bacillota; Clostridia; Eubacteriales; Clostridiaceae. The record is from RNAcentral.